Molecule: ribosomal RNA, 120 nt
Filed under: Burkholderia mallei 2002721280
Lineage: Bacteria; Pseudomonadati; Pseudomonadota; Betaproteobacteria; Burkholderiales; Burkholderiaceae
Source: RNAcentral
GAGCGAGAACGGCACGCAGGCGGGCGACGCGCCGAGCGCGUCGCGGCCGAUCGCGGCCGCCAUCGCAGCCUGCACCGCCGCGUCGAGCAAGCCGGGCGGCAGCCGGUGGCGCUCGCGCGC